UCCUUUAAGAGCGUGCAUCCUAGUUAGGCGUCCACACUUAUCGGUUUGUUUGAUGUUACAGCCAAGGGUCUGUAGCUCAGGUGGUUAGAGCACCGUCUUGAUAAGGCGGGGGUCGUAGGUUCGAGUCCUACCAGACCCACCAAGUUACGGGCGGCGGAGAGCGAUCUUGCCGUGAACUGGGGGAUUAGCUCAGCUGGGAGAGCACCUGCUUUGCAAGCAGGGGGUCGUCGGUUCGAUCCCGUCAUCCUCCACCAACACCUUGUGGUAGCCAAACGCAAGCAUCGAGAGAUCGGUGUUUGCGUUUGGCAUUGCCAAGACGAGUAGUAACUCGGCUGUUCUUUAACAAUAUGGAAUGUAGUAAAGGUGUCGCGGCGCGUUGAUGAGGCGCGCAAUUUAAACGCGACACUGGGUUGUGAUUGUAUCAACCAGUAUUACGAGUGAUCGAAAGACCGCUUGGAAUACGGCACAACGCGAGAACUCAGC
This 483-nucleotide transfer RNA is filed under the name Ralstonia solanacearum. Its description in RNAcentral is "partial contains 16S ribosomal RNA and 16S-23S ribosomal RNA intergenic spacer". The stretch from base 66 to 139 matches the Rfam family "tRNA". The record is from RNAcentral. Lineage: Bacteria; Pseudomonadati; Pseudomonadota; Betaproteobacteria; Burkholderiales; Burkholderiaceae.